Non-coding RNA from Clostridium sp. CAG:127, 86 nucleotides. Lineage: Bacteria; Bacillati; Bacillota; Clostridia; Eubacteriales; Clostridiaceae. The record is from Rfam.
UUUAAUUAGUGUCCAUGGGACGAAGUCCCAUAUUAGGAUGACGCUGACAAUCUGCCGCCGAACGGAUGUGAGGGGCGAUACAUUAG